Molecule: ribosomal RNA, 252 nt
Filed under: uncultured bacterium
Lineage: Bacteria
Description: partial 16S ribosomal RNA
Rfam family: Bacterial small subunit ribosomal RNA
Source: RNAcentral
UACGUAGGGGGCAAGCGUUGUCCGGAAUCAUUGGGCGUAAAGCGCGUGUAGGCGCCAGAAAAGUCCGCUGUGAAAACUCGAGGCUCAACUUCGAGCUGUCGGUGGAAACUUUCUGGCUAGAGUCCGGAAGAGGAGAGUGGAAUUCCUGGUGUAGCGGUGAAAUGCGCAGAUAUCAGGAAGAACACCCGUGGCGAAGGCGGCUCUCUGGGACGGUACUGACGCUGAGACGCGAAAGCGUGGGGAGCGAACAGG